This 253-nucleotide ribosomal RNA is filed under the name uncultured bacterium. Its description in RNAcentral is "partial 16S ribosomal RNA". It matches the Rfam family "Bacterial small subunit ribosomal RNA", at positions 524 to 776 of the family's 1533-position model. The record is from RNAcentral.
UACGUAGGUGGCGAGCGUUGUCCGGAUUUACUGGGCGUAAAGAGCGCGCAGGCGGUCGUUCAAGUCGCGUGUGAAAGCCCCCGGCUCAACUGGGGAGGGUCACGCGAUACUGAUCGACUCGAAGGCAGGAGAGGGUAGUGGAAUUCCCGGUGUAGUGGUGAAAUGCGUAGAUAUCGGGAGGAACACCAGUGGCGAAGGCGACUACCUGGCCUGUUCUUGACGCUGAGGCGCGAGAGCUAGGGGAGCAAACGGG